This 97-nucleotide transfer RNA is filed under the name Peptostreptococcaceae bacterium. RNAcentral's name for it is "tRNA-Sec". It matches the Rfam family "Selenocysteine transfer RNA". RNAcentral also lists the same sequence under 1 other name. Lineage: Bacteria; Bacillati; Bacillota; Clostridia; Peptostreptococcales; Peptostreptococcaceae. The record is from RNAcentral.
GGGAGUAGAUGGGUGCUGGUGUGCCCGCCAGUCUUCAAAACUGGUUCGAGGGGUUAGUAGCUUCUUGGGUGGGUUCGAUUCCCACAUAUUCCCGCCA